CCUACGGGAGGCUGCAGUGGGGAAUAUUGCACAAUGGGCGCAAGCCUGAUGCAGCCAUGCCGCGUGUGUGAAGAAGGCCUUCGGGUUGUAAAGCACUUUCAGCGGGGAGGAAGGCGGUGAGGUUAAUAACCUCAUCGAUUGACGUUACCCGCAGAAGAAGCACCGGCUAACUCCGUGCCAGCAGCCGCGGUAAUACGGAGUGUGCAAGCGUUAAUCGGAAUUACUGGGCGUAAAGCGCACGCAGGCGGUCUGUCAAGUCGGAUGUGAAAUCCCCGGGCUCAACCUGGGAACUGCAUUCGAAACUGGCAGGCUAGAGUCUUGUAGAGGGGGGUAGAAUUCCAGGUGUAGCGGUGAAAUGCGCAGAGAUCUGGAGGAAUACCGGUGGCGAAGGCGGCCCCCUGGAUAAAGACUGACGCUCAGGUGCGAAAGCGUGGGGAGCAAACAGGAUUAGAUACCCUAGUAGUC
RNAcentral lists this ribosomal RNA (465 nucleotides) under uncultured Klebsiella sp. Its description in RNAcentral is "bacterial SSU rRNA". It matches the Rfam family "Bacterial small subunit ribosomal RNA", at positions 338 to 795 of the family's 1533-position model. Lineage: Bacteria; Pseudomonadati; Pseudomonadota; Gammaproteobacteria; Enterobacterales; Enterobacteriaceae. The record is from RNAcentral.